Molecule: non-coding RNA, 188 nt
Organism: Oryza glaberrima (African rice)
Lineage: Eukaryota; Viridiplantae; Streptophyta; Magnoliopsida; Poales; Poaceae
Source: Rfam
AAUAAGUGCAGCCAUGGAUAUCCGUGCUCAACGUUUGACCGUCCGUCUUAUUUAAAAAUUUUGUAAAAAAAUAAAAAUAUUUAAUCAUACAUAAAGUAUUAUUCAUGUUUUAUUAUCUAAUACCAAUAAAAAUAUUAAUCAUAAAAAAAUAAAAUAAAAUAAACGGUUAAACAUUAAACGUGAAUAGU